Molecule: ribosomal RNA, 475 nt
Filed under: uncultured bacterium
Lineage: Bacteria
Description: bacterial SSU rRNA
Rfam family: Bacterial small subunit ribosomal RNA
Source: RNAcentral
AAUCAACGCUGGCGGCGUGCCUCAGACAUGCAAGUCGAACGAUUAAAGCUCUCUUCGGAGAGUGUAUAGAGUGGCGCACGGGUGAGUAACACGUAAGUAAUCUACCUUUGAGUGGGGAAUAACCCGGGGAAACCCGAGCUAAUACCGCAUAAUGCAGCGGCACCGCAAGGUGACAGUUGUUAAAGGAGCAAUCCGCUUAAAGAGGAGCUUGCGGCAGAUUAGCUAGUGGUAAGGUAAUGGCUUACCAAGGCUUCGAUCUGUAUCCGGCCUGAGAGGGCGGUCGGACACACUGACACUGAAUAACGGGUCAGACUCCUACGGGAGGCAGCAGUCGGGAAUUUUGGGCAAUGGGCGAAAGCCUGACCCAGCAACGCCGCGUGAAGGAUGAAGUAUUUCGGUAUGUAAACUUCGAAAGAAUGGGAAGAAUCAAUGACGGUACCAUUUAUAAGUCCGGCUAACUACGUGCCAGCAGCCG